RNAcentral lists this transfer RNA (80 nucleotides) under Erwinia phage SunLIRen. RNAcentral's name for it is "tRNA-Pro". It matches the Rfam family "tRNA". Rfam says of the family: Transfer RNA (tRNA) molecules are approximately 80 nucleotides in length. Their secondary structure includes four short double-helical elements and three loops (D, anti-codon, and T loops). Further hydrogen bonds mediate the characteristic L-shaped molecular structure. tRNAs have two regions of fundamental functional importance: the anti-codon, which is responsible for specific mRNA codon recognition, and the 3' end, to which the tRNAs corresponding amino acid is attached (by aminoacyl-tRNA synthetases). tRNAs cope with the degeneracy of the genetic code in two manners: having more than one tRNA (with a specific anti-codon) for a particular amino acid; and 'wobble' base-pairing, i.e. permitting non-standard base-pairing at the 3rd anti-codon position. RNAcentral also lists the same sequence under 1 other name. The record is from RNAcentral. Lineage: Duplodnaviria; Heunggongvirae; Uroviricota; Caudoviricetes; Andersonviridae.
UCUCCGUUUAGCUCAGUAUGGAUAGAGUAGGCCGUUUGGGGCGGUCGGGUCGAAGGUUCGAAUCCUUCAACGGAGACCAA